RNAcentral lists this ribosomal RNA (314 nucleotides) under Neoancistrotus gracilis. Its description in RNAcentral is "partial 12S ribosomal RNA". Lineage: Eukaryota; Metazoa; Arthropoda; Arachnida; Opiliones; Gonyleptidae. The record is from RNAcentral.
CCCUAGUAUAAUUUUUUAUUUGAGAUUAAUAAUUAUAAAAAUUAAAAAUUUUGGCGGUUAAUUAUAAAUUAGAGGAGCUUGUUUGAAUUAAGAAUUUACUCUUUAAAUUUUAAUAUUAAGUAAGUUUAUUCAUCUCUGUUAUUAAUAAUACUUAUAAUAAUUAAUUUUAUUAUUUCAGGUCAAGAUGUAGUUUUUAAUAUUUAAAAUUAGCUACAAUUAUAAAAUAUUGGGAUAUAAUUUUGUAUUAAUUGUAAAAAGUGAAUUUAGCUGUAAUAGUAAUUAGAAUAUUAUUAUGAUUUUUAAUAGUUGAUGCA